GUGGGGAAUAUUGGACAAUGGGGGGAACCCUGAUCCAGCCAUGCCGCGUGUGUGAAGAAGGCCUUUUGGUUGUAAAGCACUUUAAGCGAGGAGGAGGCUACCGAGAUUAAUACUCUUGGAUAGUGGACGUUACUCGCAGAAUAAGCACCGGCUAACUCUGUGCCAGCAGCCGCGGUAAUACAGAGGGUGCAAGCGUUAAUCGGAUUUACUGGGCGUAAAGCGCGCGUAGGCGGCUUUUUAAGUCGGAUGUGAAAUCCCCGAGCUUAACUUGGGAAUUGCAUUCGAUACUGGGAAGCUAGAGUAUGGGAGAGGAUGGUAGAAUUCCAGGUGUAGCGGUGAAAUGCGUAGAGAUCUGGAGGAAUACCGAUGGCGAAGGCAGCCAUCUGGCCUAAUACUGACGCUGAGGUACGAAAGCAUGGGGAGCAAACAGGAUUAGAUACCCGAGUAGUCC
This 451-nucleotide ribosomal RNA is filed under the name uncultured bacterium. RNAcentral describes it as "partial 16S ribosomal RNA". It matches the Rfam family "Bacterial small subunit ribosomal RNA", at positions 354 to 796 of the family's 1533-position model. The record is from RNAcentral.